UGCAUGAUACUGCGUUUUGUCCAACUUCCUGGUUUCUUUUUAGCACUCACAUUUCAGUGGCUUAAUUGUCCUUUUUACAACUGCUCUAAGAAAAGGAAAAAAAAGAUUUCUUAAUGGUAUUCCCUGGUUUGUGCCAAAGGACCCUAAUCUCCAAGGAGAGAGAACCAUUCUUAGUUUGAGGAAAUGUCAAGAGCUCUUCAAGCCUACAGGAACAGGGGAAGAGGAAGAGGAGGGUGGAUCCCAACUGUUACCCCAUAUUCCACUCCUGUUUCACUGGUCACAAUCACGGGGCCUUACUCAGCUUCCUCAGGAUUUGACCUGUAUUAGUCGAUGAUGGAUGAGUUACAGCCAAUUGAUUAGAGUGACAGACCGAUGGAAUUCAUGCCAGCUCGAAUUGCUCUUCCAAAAUCUACCUGGGCAGCGCUCUCUUUUACUUCAGAUCGGUUCCUUCGUCUGUGGGGGACCUGCGGAGGCCAGGUCCUAAUUCACCAGCCAGGAUCCUUCUCCCAUCUUCCACCAUGCUUUCCAGCCUCGGCCGGCUUCGGGUCUGUGAGCGGGCGCAUGCCUGCUCAGAGAAGUCUCCCAAGCGCUGUUGUCUGGGGGGGAAGGGAGAGCCCCGCCUUGAGGGUAGGGGGGCAAUCCCCUGGCAAGGAGCAGCCAUUGGACCUCUGAGCUCCUGCCACUGUUUUCAGGGACCAGCAUUUCGGGGGGGCCAGUGGAGCCAGGGUGCUGAGUCGUCCAACUGCUGCAGGGAAAGGAAAGGAGCAGCGAGCCCUGGGCCUGAGCAGGGACAGCGGUGGACUUUUCUGGAAUGUCUUCCAUUAACCCUGGUUUUUAACUCCUCGUCGUUCUCUGCAUUCAGGAGCAGCGCUAAAGGGACCUAGGGAGUCAACUCAACUGGUCUGUCUUCUCUGCCUGUAUUUUUCCCCAAUGUUCCUCUUACCUGAUUGUAAUUGUCUUUAUAUUCUACCCCCCCACACUGUUCACCAUUUUUUCCCAUCCCCCGAGGGCACAGAUAAUGGCAUUGACAACUUCUGCCGCCAGCUGAAAUGGGCUUCUGUCCUCAAGCUUCUCCUACAGAAGAUGUCCCUUGUCCCUUGUCACGCCCACUUUGGGGACCCAAGACUCCUCUUACCCUAAAAGCCCCCACAGAAAGAAAGCUUCCCCCUCCCGCUCCCCUGGGCGUGGCUGGAGCUUCCCUGGACGGCCAGCAGAUGGAGCAGUUGCCCUCCUUAUCCUCUCUCCCUGGCCUCCCCUCCCAAACAAAGACCCGGAAAGAGUGGGGAAGGUGGGCUAGUGGGCAGGCCUCUCCCAGGACCCACAAGGGGAGAAACUUUCCACAAAGAAAGUCCCCAGGCCCCCUCCCCUACAGAACUGUCCCUCUUGGGCCAAGGGCCACCAAAGAGAGAAGGAAUGUGGGGCUGUGCCCAGCCCCCCAGGGAGCACAUCCAUGUCCCAGGCCCAGUGUCAGAAGCCCCGCUGUCUCCUCAUUGCUUCUAGUACAGGCGGGUGGAUGCCAGAAAUCCCACCAUCCGGGCCCGUUAGAUAUGACUCUAAGGUUUUGUCAGACGCAAACGCACAGGGGCAGCGCGCAGCCCCCUGGGCCUUGUGUGCUGGAACUUUCUAGCUGCCAGCUCUGGGUUCGUGGCAGCAACUCAAAUUCAGGGCGGCUGGAAGCCAAGUCUCAGUUUCUUCAUCUCUAAGAAAGAGAGAUGAAGUUUAAUUUUUCCUGACAACACAGCUUGGAGGGGAUUAAUUAUACACGAAGGUGUCUGAGAAGCGGAAGCUGCCUGAUCCAUGUUGGUUAAACUUCAAACACGCGCAGAUGCCUCCGGGGGAGACGCCGAGCGAGGGGACCCGUCCGCUCUUCUCCGGCAGUGGGUUGGGUGGGAUGCGCAGGGCAGGGCUGGCCAGGAGCCCUUGUCCUCUCUCAUCCGGAUUAUCCCAAAGGCCCCCUCUGUGCUCUCCCUGCCUCCAGCCCUGGCACCCUUUCUCCUUCCCUCCCGUCCUGCCUCCUCCCUGCAGGUGUUUUCUAUAUAGAAAUCACACGCCCUUCCUUGGCCUAAAAUACUUAUAUGGCUUUUCAAAUGCUCUCAGAAUAAAAGCCAAACUCAGAAGAAUGUCA
Neogale vison (American mink) is the source of this 2125-nucleotide long non-coding RNA. RefSeq lists it as uncharacterized. The record is from RefSeq and is a predicted model, not a curated record. The transcript is spliced from 3 exons. NCBI's taxonomy places the organism in Eukaryota, Metazoa, Chordata, Mammalia, Carnivora, Mustelidae.